UUCGGUGCUUAGCGGCGGACGGGUGAGUAACACGUAGGCAACCUGCCUGUAAGACCGGGAUAACUACCGGAAACGGUAGCUAAGACCGGAUGUCUGGCUUGGGCGCAUGCCCGGGUCAUGAAACACGGCGCAAGCUGUGGCUUACAGAUGGGCCUGCGGCGCAUUAGCUAGUUGGUGGGGUAACGGCUCACCAAGGCGACGAUGCGUAGCCGACCUGAGAGGGUGAUCGGCCACACUGGGACUGAGACACGGCCCAGACUCCUACGGGAGGCAGCAGUAGGGAAUCUUCCGCAAUGGACGAAAGUCUGACGGAGCAACGCCGCGUGAGUGAUGAAGGCCUUCGGGUCGUAAAGCUCUGUUGCCAGGGAAGAACGUCCCGGGGAGUAACUGCCCUGGGAAUGACGGUACCUGAGAAGAAAGCCCCGGCUAACUACGUGCCAGCAGCCGCGGUAAUACGUAGGGGGCAAGCGUUGUCCGGAAUUAUUGGGCGUAAAGCGCGCGCAGGCGGUCGUUUAAGUCUGGUGUUUAAGCCCGGGGCUCAACCCCGGUUCGCACUGGAAACUGGAUGACUUGAGUGCAGGAGAGGAAAGUGGAAUUCCACGUGUAGCGGUGAAAUGCGUAGAGAUGUGGAGGAACACCAGUGGCGAAGGCGACUUUCUGGACUGUAACUGACGCUG
RNAcentral lists this ribosomal RNA (677 nucleotides) under Paenibacillus sp. Its description in RNAcentral is "bacterial SSU rRNA". It matches the Rfam family "Bacterial small subunit ribosomal RNA", at positions 84 to 748 of the family's 1533-position model. The record is from RNAcentral. Lineage: Bacteria; Bacillati; Bacillota; Bacilli; Caryophanales; Paenibacillaceae.